GACGAACGCUGGCGGCGUGCUUAACACAUGCAAGUCGAGCGGUAAGGCCCUUUCGGGGGUACACGAGCGGCGAACGGGUGAGUAACACGUGGGUGACCUGCCCUUAGCUCUGGGAUAAGCCUGGGAAACUGGGUCUAAUACCGGAUAUGACUCCAUGACGCAUGUUGUGGGGUGGAAAGCCUUGUGCGGCUAGGGAUGGGCCCGCGGCCUAUCAGCUUGUUGGUGGGGUGAUGGCCUACCAAGGCGACGACGGGUAGCCGGCCUGAGAGGGCGUCCGGCCACACUGGGACUGAGACACGGCCCAGACUCCUACGGGAGGCAGCAGUGGGGAAUCUUGCGCAAUGGGCGAAGGCCUGACGCAGCGACGCCGCGUGGGGAUGACGGCCU
This 387-nucleotide ribosomal RNA is filed under the name uncultured bacterium. Its description in RNAcentral is "bacterial SSU rRNA". It matches the Rfam family "Bacterial small subunit ribosomal RNA", at positions 28 to 417 of the family's 1533-position model. The record is from RNAcentral.